AGGAUCAUUACAUAUAUGAAAGCCGGGCUGGGGCUCCCAGGCGCCCACGUUUCUGCCACAAUGGUAGGAGUGAGGACGCUUGCCCAGUCUGACUGAAUUAUUCACCCAUGUCUUUUGCGUACUUCUUGUUUCCUGGGUGGGCUCGCCCACCAACAGGACAACCAUUAAACCUUUUGCAAUAGCAAUCAGCGUCAGAAAAAACAAAAUUAUUACAACUUUCAACAACGGAUCUCUUGGUUCUGGCAUCGAUGAAGAACGCAGCGAAAUGCGAUAAGUAGUGUGAAUUGCAGAAUUCAGUGAAUCAUCGAAUCUUUGAACGCACAUUGCGCCCCUUGGUAUUCCAUGGGGCAUGCCUGUUCGAGCGUCAUUUGUACCCUCAAGCUUUGCUUGGUGUUGGGUGUUUGUCUUACGAGACUCGCCUUAAAACAAUUGGCAGCCGGCCUACUGGUCUCGGAGCGCAGCACAAGUCGCGCUCUGUACCAGAAGGGCGGCGUCCAAGAAGCCUCAUUUUCCACUUUUGACCUCGGAUCAGGUAGGGAUACCCGCUGAACUUAA
This 555-nucleotide ribosomal RNA is filed under the name Pleosporales sp. 7 PV-2016. Its description in RNAcentral is "eukaryotic LSU rRNA". The stretch from base 214 to 367 matches the Rfam family "5.8S ribosomal RNA". Lineage: Eukaryota; Fungi; Ascomycota; Dothideomycetes; Pleosporales. The record is from RNAcentral.